UACGUAGGGUGCAAGCGUUGUCCGGAAUUAUUGGGCGUAAAGAGCUCGUAGGCGGCUUGUCGCGUCGUUCGUGAAAACCUGCAGCUCAACUGCAGGCUUGCGGUCGAUACGGGCAGGCUAGAGUUCGGUAGGGGAGACUGGAAUUCCUGGUGUAGCGGUGAAAUGCGCAGAUAUCAGGAGGAACACCGGUGGCGAAGGCGGGUCUCUGGGCCGAUACUGACGCUGAGGAGCGAGAGCGUGGGGAGCGAACAGG
RNAcentral lists this ribosomal RNA (253 nucleotides) under uncultured bacterium. RNAcentral describes it as "partial 16S ribosomal RNA". It matches the Rfam family "Bacterial small subunit ribosomal RNA", at positions 524 to 776 of the family's 1533-position model. The record is from RNAcentral.